Molecule: ribosomal RNA, 438 nt
Filed under: Rhodococcus baikonurensis
Lineage: Bacteria; Bacillati; Actinomycetota; Actinomycetes; Mycobacteriales; Nocardiaceae
Description: bacterial SSU rRNA
Rfam family: Bacterial small subunit ribosomal RNA
Source: RNAcentral
CUGGCUCAGGACGAACGCUGGCGGCGUGCUUAACACAUGCAAGUCGAGCGGUAAGGCCUUUCGGGGUACACGAGCGGCGAACGGGUGAGUAACACGUGGGUGAUCUGCCCUGCACUUCGGGAUAAGCCUGGGAAACUGGGUCUAAUACCGGAUAUGACCUCCUAUCGCAUGGUGGGUGGUGGAAAGAUUUAUCGGUGCAGGAUGGGCCCGCGGCCUAUCAGCUUGUUGGUGGGGUAAUGGCCUACCAAGGCGACGACGGGUAGCCGACCUGAGAGGGUGACCGGCCACACUGGGACUGAGACACGGCCCAGACUCCUACGGGAGGCAGCAGUGGGGAAUAUUGCACAAUGGGCGAAAGCCUGAUGCAGCGACGCCGCGUGAGGGAUGACGGCCUUCGGGUUGUAAACCUCUUUCAGCAGGGACGAAGGCGCAAGUGAC